UCCGUAGGUGAACCUGCGGAAGGAUCAUUACCUAGAGUUGUAGGCUUUGCCUGCUAUCUCUUACCCAUGUCUUUUGAGUACCUUACGUUUCCUCGGCGGGUCCGCCCGCCGAUUGGACAAUUUAAACCAUUUGCAGUUGCAAUCAGCGUCUGAAAAAACUUAAUAGUUACAACUUUCAACAACGGAUCUCUUGGUUCUGGCAUCGAUGAAGAACGCAGCGAAAUGCGAUAAGUAGUGUGAAUUGCAGAAUUCAGUGAAUCAUCGAAUCUUUGAACGCACAUUGCGCCCCUUGGUAUUCCAUGGGGCAUGCCUGUUCGAGCGUCAUUUGUACCUUCAAGCUCUGCUUGGUGUUGGGUGUUUGUCUCGCCUCUGCGUGUAGACUCGCCUCAAAACAAUUGGCAGCCGGCGUAUUGAUUUCGGAGCGCAGUACAUCUCGCGCUUUGCACUCAUAACGACGACGUCCAAAAGUACAUUUUUACACUCUUGACCUCGGAUCAGGUAGGGAUACCCGCUGAACUUAAGCAUAU
This 527-nucleotide ribosomal RNA is filed under the name Dothiorella gregaria. Its description in RNAcentral is "eukaryotic LSU rRNA". The stretch from base 171 to 324 matches the Rfam family "5.8S ribosomal RNA". Lineage: Eukaryota; Fungi; Ascomycota; Dothideomycetes; Botryosphaeriales; Botryosphaeriaceae. The record is from RNAcentral.